UCUGGUCAGAUGAAACCAAAAUUGAACUUUUUGGCAACAAUGCAAAACGUUAUGUUUGGCGUAAAAGCAACACAGCUCAUCACCCUGAACACACCAUCCCCACUGUCAAACAUGGUGGUGGCAGCAUCAUGGUUUGGGCCUGCUUUUCUUCAGCAGGGACAGGGAAGAUGGUUAAAAUUGAUGGGAAGAUGGAUGGAGCCAAAUACAGGACCAUUCUGGAAGAAUGCAGUAAGGCAGUAUAAUACUCUGGUUUCAGAUGGACUGAGGUCUGCAGGAAGGCCUUACUGCAGACCUAAUCCACAUCAAGGAAUGUACACUAAGAAAGAAGAAUUGCUGUUCUGGACCCGUGGGACCUGGACCCCUCUCUAACCCAACAGCAGCUGCAGCAGGAGGAGGAGGAGGCAGAAAUUACGGAUCUACAGCUCACCUCCAUAGAGGACCUGACCAACAGACCAGUAGAUCUGUCACAUGAUGUCCCGACUUCAGUUCUAUAGAUCUACACAGUCAGCUGACACUCCCUCCCCUGUUCCUGUGUCCCUCUCCCCCUUUCUCUCCCUCCCCUGUUCCUGUGUCCCUCUCUCCCCUUCUCUUCCUCCCCUGUUCCUGUGUCCCUCUCCCCCUUCUCUCCCUCCCC
Long non-coding RNA from Oncorhynchus tshawytscha (Chinook salmon), 634 nucleotides. NCBI's taxonomy places the organism in Eukaryota, Metazoa, Chordata, Actinopteri, Salmoniformes, Salmonidae. The record is from Ensembl.